This 253-nucleotide ribosomal RNA is filed under the name uncultured bacterium. RNAcentral's name for it is "partial 16S ribosomal RNA". It matches the Rfam family "Bacterial small subunit ribosomal RNA", at positions 524 to 776 of the family's 1533-position model. The record is from RNAcentral.
UACGGAGGGUGCGAGCGUUGUUCGGAAUCACUGGGCGUAAAGCGCGUGUAGGCGGCCCACUAAGUCUGAUGUGAAAGCCCGGGGCUCACCCCCGGAAGUGCAUUGGAAACUGGUGGACUCGAGUCCCGGAGAGGAGAGUGGAAUUCCUGGUGUAGCGGUGAAAUGCGUAGAUAUCGGGAAGAACACCCGUGGCGAAGGCGGUUCUCUGGGACGGUACUGACGCUGAGACGCGAAAGCGUGGGGAGCGAACAGG